UGUGCAACUCUAAUUGAAAAAUAAGAAUCAAUUGUAUUAAAACACAUGGAUUUUCUAUUGGCUUAUUUUUCAGGUGUCACAGACUUCAUCUCUAUAAAUAUGUAGCUCUUCCCAAAACUGAAAAUAAUAAAUAGAAAUUUCCACCCUGUUUUACUGGGAUCCUUUCCUAAUGUCAUACUUUGGUGUGGAACAUAUUUAAAGGCCAGUCAUGAGGCAGAGAAGUGGAAUGAAGUCCACCAGAGAUGGCGAAUUUUUCGUGGAAAAACUGCAAUGACACCACAGAAUCAACACAGUGAAACAGAAGGAAUAGAGGGAUUCAAUUUGGUGAUUUCUAGUAAGUGAUAGAUCUGAG
Molecule: long non-coding RNA, 352 nt
Filed under: Vulpes vulpes (red fox)
Lineage: Eukaryota; Metazoa; Chordata; Mammalia; Carnivora; Canidae
Description: lncRNA (ENSVVUG00000001991.1)
Source: RNAcentral